AUGCCAUUACAGGGUGAAAGUUCCACCGCCAAAUCCGGCGUGGCCUGGGAUACCUCCGGACACAACUUUCCCUUGCAACAGGACCUGCUUCUCAAGUCUCUGCUGGUGACUUCGACUCAAGCCACAGUUUUGGAGAAAAACACACGGCAGCAGUCGAAGAGUCCGCUAUGGAGGGCAGCCCGACGGAACAGGCUGACAGCGUCAUCCUUCGGGGAAGUUGCAACACGCGAGAGCUGGUCUUUAAAAGGCCUCAACAACCUGACAUCAACCAAGGACAUCUCGCACGUCCGUGCGGUCAGACACGGUAUCAAGUACGAGCCAGCGGCUGUGCAACGUUACGAGAGUGCCUUGCGGGUCUUGGGACAUGAUAUCCAGACAUCGCACUGCGGCAUUGUUGUUCAACCUGACUGCCCCUGGCUCGGAGCGUCUCCUGACAGGACGACAUGGGACCCGACCGAAGCAACUGCUCAUGGGGUUGUCGAGGUGAAAUGUCCUUAUACAUUGAAGGAUGGAGGCCUCGAGACUGCGGUAGACUUUUACAUGGUGAAGGAUACUUCAGGGGUGUACCGCUUGAACCGGGAACAUAGGUAUUGCUACCAGAUUCUGGGUCAGAUGGCGCUUUCUGGCCUGCUGUGGGGGGAUUUCGUUGUUUAUUCCCACAAGUUUUUGAUUGUUGAGAGAAUUAAUUUUUCUCAAGAGAAGUGGCUAGAAUGUAAAACUACACUACACAAGUUUUACUUCUCUGUUUUGCUGCCAUACCUGUCCGAAAGUCGCACAUAA
Molecule: RNA transcript, 780 nt
Organism: Ixodes scapularis (black-legged tick)
Lineage: Eukaryota; Metazoa; Arthropoda; Arachnida; Ixodida; Ixodidae
Exons: 5
Source: RefSeq, a predicted model, not a curated record